AGCGAACGCUGGCGGCAGGCCUAACACAUGCAAGUCGAACGAACUCUUCGGAGUUAGUGGCGGACGGGUGAGUAACACGUGGGAACGUGCCUUUAGGUUCGGAAUAACUCAGGGAAACUUGUGCUAAUACCGAAUGUGCCCUUCGGGGGAAAGAUUUAUCGCCUUUAGAGCGGCCCGCGUCUGAUUAGCUAGUUGGUGAGGUAAAGGCUCACCAAGGCGACGAUCAGUAGCUGGUCUGAGAGGAUGAUCAGCCACAUUGGGACUGAGACACGGCCCAAACUCCUACGGGAGGCAGCAGUGGGGAAUCUUGCGCAAUGGGCGAAAGCCUGACGCAGCCAUGCCGCGUGAAUGAUGAAGGUCUUAGGAUUGUAAAAUUCUUUCACCGGGGACGAUAAUGACGGUAC
Molecule: ribosomal RNA, 404 nt
Filed under: uncultured bacterium
Lineage: Bacteria
Description: bacterial SSU rRNA
Rfam family: Bacterial small subunit ribosomal RNA
Source: RNAcentral